ACCAACCAAUCAGAGCUUUGUAGGUGGGUUUGAGUAAACAGUACAAGUCAUUUUAAGUCAAUAUGACACACACUAACUUAGCUGCUCCUAUCGACCUAUGAGAGUGGACACAGAUGGGACAUAAACACUCAGAGCAAAACAGAACAUGAAAAUGACUUCUUCACUACACGAGGUGUUUAAGAUUUUGGGGGCUACACAUAGACAAGUUUGAAAUGAAUCCUGCGUCCAACCCAGAGCUCUGAAAAAGAGGAGGCAGAGCAGCAGAGAGGAGAGGAAAAAGGAAAGGACAAUGACCGUGUGCCAGUUGCAGAAUUCUGAAUGCAGCUGCAGCCACCUUGACAGAGAGCGACAAGAGGGGAAAUAAAAUAUUGUUCUCCAUUCAGAUAGAAAGUGUGAGGAAUGGCCGGCGACAUCAUCUUUGACAGACAGGACUUUUGUGCUACAUGACAACUAAGCAGUUUUGGCAUGACAAUAUUUAAAAGCACAGGUAGCAGCAGAGAGGGCUGAGAGGCCAGACGCAUGCACAAAAAAAAAAACACAUAGGACACAUGCUGAACGAUGCUCAGAGCCAAAAAAACAUAAAACACGCAGAAUAGGGAAGCAGAAAAUACAGGAUUCAAUGCCUUAAAUCACUGAGUUGGCAUGCACUCUAAAAAGGUAAAUUUAGUAUUUACACAAAAUUACACCUGUGAAAAUACCACAUCUCAUGCUUCAGAUACAAUUACUUCCAGUGUUUUCAUAAGUGAUUCUGCAAGGCAAACACACGUUGCUGUUUUUGAGAUAAACACUAAAAACACAGAUUUGCACAUAUUUUCUGUAGCUAUUCAUGGUUUUAACAUGAUUGGAGCCUAAUUUAACAUUCAAACUACUUAACACAAAUGCGUGCACAUACAUGGCUCAGCAUGAAAUGCAAGUUCAUUUGAUAUAAGAGGAAAAGACCUGCACUCAAAAAGCAGCGUAAAAGAGGAGAUGAAAACGAGGGUGGUUGUAUUUGAAAGAAUUACAAAUGUACAAAAUUACACAUGCAGAAAAUAAAGUAUCACGCUCUUGCAUAUAUAAUUAUGUGCAUUCCAA
Molecule: long non-coding RNA, 1074 nt
Organism: Lates calcarifer (barramundi perch)
Lineage: Eukaryota; Metazoa; Chordata; Actinopteri; Centropomidae
Exons: 3
Source: RefSeq, a predicted model, not a curated record